RNAcentral lists this transfer RNA (69 nucleotides) under Episcapha fortunii. RNAcentral's name for it is "tRNA-Gln". It matches the Rfam family "tRNA". From Rfam's summary of the family: Transfer RNA (tRNA) molecules are approximately 80 nucleotides in length. The record is from RNAcentral. Lineage: Eukaryota; Metazoa; Arthropoda; Insecta; Coleoptera; Erotylidae.
UGUAUUUUAGUAUAAGAGGUAUUAAAGUUUUUGAAUCUUUAGGAAAUAGUUUAAUUCUAUUAAAUACAA